GCACCUUCUUGUUUAGAUCAGCAGACUAGAUCCCAAGCAAUUAAGGGUGGUUUGUUUGUGUGAACCAUACAAGUCCAGAUAAUUCCUACAAAUUGUGACUACCUUGUUUUAGCACUUUCCUCGAGAGCAGGAACAUUGAAGCCCAGUAUGUCUGUAUGUGCAUGAGGACAGAGUUUACUAAGUGAGUUCUUCCUGCAUAUGAAAGAUUCCUUGAACCCCAGGUCUUGAUUCUACACAUCAUUUUAUCCAGUAGCAUCUCACAAUUCGCUGCUGACAGUUUCCUUGAUGAUAUAGGCACCCCCAGGUAUUUAAAAGGUAGUUUACCAUGAGAUAUCCAGUUAAGUCAUAUAACUCUGAUAACUCUUUUUCAUCCAUCCUUGCCGAGAAGAUAUUUGACUUAUUUGCAUUAGUAGUUAGACCUGAUGCCAUGGAGAAAGUCUUCAGACCCCUCAACAUUAAGAGAAUUGAUCGAAUAUCACCUUUGCUGAAAAUUAACAUGUCAUUAGCAAAACAAAGGUGAUUCAACUUUAAGCUUUUGCACUUGGUGUGAAAUUCAAAAUCCUCUUGAUUAGCAAUCCAUCUCAUAAUCCUAGAGAAAUAUUCCAAGCAUACUACAAAAAGUAGAAGUGAUAAUGGAUCACCUUGUCUCAAACCUCUUUUACCUACUAUAUUGCCAUGCACCCCUCCAUUUAUAGCUAUUGAAUACACUGGCGUCUUAGCACAUGCCAUCACCCAUCUUAUGUAUUUACUUGGGAAGUUCAACGCGUGCAACAUUUCCUCCACAAAAUCCCAUUCAACUGAGUCAUAAGCCAUUUUUAGGUCUAUCUUAAUGAGGCAACUUUUUGUGGUGUUUUUCCUAUUGUAUAACCUGACCAAAUCCCGACAUAUCAAAAUGUUUUGUACUAUAUAUCUCUUCCGGCCACAAACGCACUUGGAUUUUCAGAAAUUAUCUUUGGUAACACUCCUUUUAGUUGACGGCAUAGCAUUUUAGAGAUAAUUUUAUAGAGAAUGUUACAACACGAUAUAGGUCUAUACUCCACAACGGACUCUGCAUGUACACAUUUAGGUAUUAAGGUAAUUAUUGUAGAGUUUAUACCUCUCAGUAGUUCUCCAGUUCUGAAAAACUCCAGCACCCCUGCUAUAACAUCAUCACCCGUUGUGCUCCAUGUGUCUUUGUAAAACUGGCUUCCAUAGCCAUCAGGACCAGGUGCCUUAUCACCUCCAAUAGCCCAAAGGGCUUGUUUAACUUCUUCUGCAGUGAACUUUUUUAUAAGCUCAUCUCUUUGUGUAUCCAUCACCAAGGGUCCAGACCUUACUAGGUUGCUAUCAGCAUCUGUUCUAGUCCCUGUCUCAGUGCCUAAUAACCUUCUAUAAUACCUUCUAUAUCCCGUCUCUCAACCCCAUCCAUGUCUUUUACAAAAAAAAAAUUUGUUAGUGUUCCUUCUUGCCUUCAACUGUGUGUGAAAAAAUCGAGUGUUUAAGUCCCCCUCCUGUAGCCACUUGACUUUACAUUUUUGUUGUAAGAAUUUUUCACAAGCUAGCUUCCAAUAUUUCUAUUCAAUUGUUGCUGCAGCUUCUUUCUUAAUCAGUUCACUAUUUCUGGGGUCAUUUUGUAAUUGCAUCUGGUACUUCAUCAAGAUAUCUCUAGCUGAAUCAGCCUUCUUUUCCACUUCAUAGAAUCUCUCCUUAUUGAGUUUAAGUAGUAACCCUUUCAGCCUGUGUAGUUUACCAACCACCUGAAACAUCUUUCUCCCAGUUUUAGGUGCCUGCCAACUAGUAGUAACCAUCCUUCAAAAAUUUGGUGCUAGCCCCCACAUGUUAUAGUAUUUAAACUGCUUUUUCGGCUUGUAGUUUCCAUCAUCCCAAUGCACUAUUACUGAACUAUGGUCUGAAAGACCCUCAUUCAAAAAUUUGCUUCACUCGCUGGGAGAUCAGUAUGCCACUGAUGAUUAGCUAACACUAUCGAUUUUACUUACCACCCUUUCCUCCCCUUGUUGUUUAUUUGUCCAAGUAUAGUAGGACCCUGAAGAUUUCAGAUCUUGGAGCUGGCAUAUCUCUACACAAUAUUUGAAGUCUCUUAUUUCUGCAACUGUUACUUUACUACCUACUCUCUCCUCCACGUUCAACACAUUGUUGAAAUCCCCCAUAACAGCCCAAGGUCCCUGUAUAUUGUUAUAUAUCUCCAUAAUCUCUUCCUUUCAUUACUGUCAUUCAUUCCAUACACCAUAGUGAUACUCAUUUUACGACUUGAUCCUCUGUGCUCUACUUGACAAUGAAUCAGUUGAUCAGUAAUCAAACCAACAUUAACAUCAUAAUUGAAGGUUUCCAGAUGACCCAAAUUCUUCCUCCAGGAUGGCAUCCAUAGUUAGUUACUAGUGACCAAUCCUUACUUAGGGUAAGAGCAGCUUUUGUAGCUUUUGCUCUCUUAGCCUUCCUCUCUAAGAGGCCAAACAGACUUAUCUUCUUGUUAUGCAGAAAAAACUGCAUUUCAUGUUGUUUAUCCACUCUGUUCAGCCCCCUAGAGUUCCAGCAUCCAAUCCUAUCCAUCGGGUAGGGGUGAAACCCCACCCCCUUCUUUCCCAGGGUCCGUACAUCUUUUGACCUCUCCAGACCUGAGGCUUCUUGUAUCAUCCUGUAUAUCCUCCAUCAAUGUUAGUGUAUCAAAAGAAUUUCUUGUCUCAGCUUGCGUAUUUACCUUCUGCAGCGGACUUAGGCCUUUCGUCCCUUCUAUCUCUGUCCAUUCAGCCCCGUCACUAGUAGCUUUAUGCUGGUUCUGUGGCAUCUCCUGUACUAUCUUCCCCUUUAUAUCUUUUUUAGCUUGAUCCAUUUCUUGUCGUCUACACUCAUCUUCAUGGUGCCCGAAAUUCUUACACUUGUUACAUAGUAUAGGUCUCCAUUCGUAUACUACUUGUUGCUCAACUAUUCUACCCACUUAAUUCUCGAACAUAAUUACUUUAGGAUUUUCUCUAUUGAUCGGCACUUCUACUAGCACUCUGGCGAAAGUCAUCCUUUCCCUAUUCGAUGUAGCAGAAUCUGCCUUGAUUGGACUGCCUACUAAUCCGGCUAUCUAAUUCAAAGCAUUUAACCCCCAACAUUUCACCUCUAACCCGAUUAAUCGCACCCAAAUUGGUACUUUAUCCAUUCCUUCCUUUGAAAUAUCAAUAUCUGCUUUCCAAGGUCUAAUUACUACUGUUUUUUUGUCAAACAUCAACACACCUUCUUCCACAAUCUUCUCCCUUUCUUCCAUGCUGUUGAAUCGCACCAGAAAUACCCCUUUGUUUACUAGAGCUACUUUCUCCAUUCCCUUAUUUUUCCAGAUCCUCUUGGAAAAACCUUCCAUCACCACCUUGGGUGGGUUAGAGCCCAUUACACAACACACCACCGCCGUGGACCAAUAGUCAAUUUCAUCCUGCACAUCCUCCAUUGUGAUUUUCACAUUUUUGCUAGAGUUUCCAUCACACGUAAGGUCCAUCCUUACUGAACAUUCCUGUGAGCCUACAACACCACUCCAUGUAGGUUGCAUUCGUUCCUCAUUCCCAAUGUUUCUUUUAGGAGUACCUGCAGUUUCCUCUGCUUCGGCUGCAUCCGCCCAAGAUCGCCUACUCGAUCCAGCAUUUGGACUCAACUCAUUCGCUGUCAGUUGACUCAUACUCAAACCACCUGACUGCGUAAAUGCAAUUGGGGCAAUUCCCUGUAAGAUCUGAACAUUCUUCGUCUUAUUCGUGUCCGCCGUUUGGGGAACCUCUCUAGUGACCAUCCUAGUUUUUGCCAGUACUGUUUGUCCUUGCCCUCUCCCUCCAGUUUUUGCUUUCCGAGCCAUGUUCAGCGAUUGCCGAUUGGAAAUCGCAUUCUAGAGAAAGAAGAUUUCUUGACAGAUUUUAUCCAGUAAAUAAAUUAUUUUGAGAAAGGAAAACAUUACUUAGGCCCUGCUGGUCUAGGAGUGACUCUGGAAUAGGACCUUCCAGCUGAUUUUGUUUUAGAGCAACAUAAGACAAUGAUUUGGACUUGAACUCUGGAAUUUUUCCUCUGAAAUUGUUUUCACUCAAGUUUAACAAAGAUAAUGACGGGAGGGAGAAUAUCCAGGAAGGUAUAGUCUCAUUCAAGUAGUUUGAUGACAAGCUGAACAAUUGUAGGUUUUGCAGUCCACUUACGUUGGAAGGAAUUGAACCAAUUACGGAAUUAGACGAAAAAUCCAAGAAUUCAAGUUGCGCCCAGCUUCUGUUAAAGGAUAAGCACUCAAGUUGGCCAUCGAAUUAGUUAUUUCCAAGUGAUAACCUCUUGAGCUUUCCAAAUUUCAAGAACUGGGAAAUUGGUCCUUCAAGAUGGCUAUUACGAAGGUUCAAAAUCUGUAUGCUGGUGAGAUUCCAUAGAGGUCUAGGAAUGGGCCCUGAGAGAUUUGAAGAACUCAUGUCCAAGUCAAGCAAUGAAAGAUGGCCAAAUGAUUAAGGUAUCCUACCAGCAGCAUUCACACCAUAGAGAUCUAAAUCCAUCAGUGAUGCAUUGCUAUUCCAUUUGGUCGUGGGAAACCUAACAGUGAGCUGGUGAUUGUACAACAAAUCAAGAAGUUCUAAGUUGGAAAGGUGGAAAACUCUUUCGGGCAAUAUCCCAAAUAACUCUGUGUGUGAAAGUCCGAGAGUUGUUAAAUAAGAUGAGAAAUUCAGCGGAAUGGUGGAAGAGAUGUUCACACGGUAAAGGUCAAGCUUUCUUAAUUGUGUCAAGUUCAUAAGGAGCAAUUCAAAAUUGUGAGGUUCAAAUCUAUGCACGUAAUCACCAUGGAAAUAAGAACGUAUAAUUUAGAAAGGUGAGAGAUUUCAGAUGGGAUUAGACCUGUAAAACCUGAAUACGACAAAUCAAGAUGUGUCAACUAGAAAACUGACCAAAUUUAAGUGAAAUGAAAGACCCAGAAAAAUCAUUAUGAGAAAAAUUAAGCCUUUUGAGAUUGGAGAGUUGAAAGAGGCUAUUGUUGGAAUGCAACUUGCCAUGAAGUUGGCUACAAUGGAGAUCAAGCUCAAUCACUUGUCCUGUCAUCUCGUCACAAUGAACUCCCUCCCAUGAGCAACAAUCCGUGCUAUCGUUCCAUGAACGCGUUUUUGGAUAUGGAUUAAUCAAUUAAUCUUUAAAAGAACAAUAAUCAGAAGCAUUAGGAUUAAUGAUAAACAUUCGCGUGAACUGUAGAAGAGAAAUGGCUUGAUCAUUGGGACAUAAAUGAGGUGAAGAAAAAGCAAGUUGAUAGAGAAAGGCAUGCAGCAAAAAUAAUGAUAGUUUUCCG
Molecule: long non-coding RNA, 5269 nt
Filed under: Capsicum annuum
Lineage: Eukaryota; Viridiplantae; Streptophyta; Magnoliopsida; Solanales; Solanaceae
Description: long non-coding RNA (CANN_LNC000712)
Source: RNAcentral